RNAcentral lists this ribosomal RNA (2774 nucleotides) under Klebsiella aerogenes. RNAcentral's name for it is "bacterial LSU rRNA". It matches the Rfam family "Bacterial large subunit ribosomal RNA". Lineage: Bacteria; Pseudomonadati; Pseudomonadota; Gammaproteobacteria; Enterobacterales; Enterobacteriaceae. The record is from RNAcentral.
AGCGUACACGGUGGAUGCCCUGGCAGUCAGAGGCGAUGAAGGACGUGCUAAUCUGCGAAAAGCGUCGGUAAGGUGAUAUGAACCGUUAUAACCGGCGAUGUCCGAAUGGGGAAACCCAGUGCAAUUCGUUGCACUAUCGUUAACUGAAUACAUAGGUUAACGAGGCGAACCGGGGGAACUGAAACAUCUAAGUACCCCGAGGAAAAGAAAUCAACCGAGAUUCCCCCAGUAGCGGCGAGCGAACGGGGAGCAGCCCAGAGUCUGAAUCAGCUUGUGUGUUAGUGGAACGGUCUGGAAAGUCCGACGGUACAGGGUGAUAGUCCCGUACACCAAAAUGCACAGGUUGUGAACUCGAAGAGUAGGGCGGGACACGUGGUAUCCUGUCUGAAUAUGGGGGGACCAUCCUCCAAGGCUAAAUACUCCUGACUGACCGAUAGUGAACCAGUACCGUGAGGGAAAGGCGAAAAGAACCCCGGCGAGGGGAGUGAAAAAGAACCUGAAACCGUGUACGUACAAGCAGUGGGAGCACCUUCGGGUGUGACUGCGUACCUUUUGUAUAAUGGGUCAGCGACUUAUAUUCUGUAGCAAGGUUAACCGUAUAGGGGAGCCGCAGGGAAACCGAGUCUUAACUGGGCGUUAAGUUGCAGGGUAUAGACCCGAAACCCGGUGAUCUAGCCAUGGGCAGGUUGAAGGUUGGGUAACACUAACUGGAGGACCGAACCGACUAAUGUUGAAAAAUUAGCGGAUGACUUGUGGCUGGGGGUGAAAGGCCAAUCAAACCGGGAGAUAGCUGGUUCUCCCCGAAAGCUAUUUAGGUAGCGCCUCGUGAACUCAUCUUCGGGGGUAGAGCACUGUUUCGGCUAGGGGGUCAUCCCGACUUACCAACCCGAUGCAAACUACGAAUACCGAAGAAUGUUAUCACGGGAGACACACGGCGGGUGCUAACGUCCGUCGUGAAGAGGGAAACAACCCAGACCGCCAGCUAAGGUCCCAAAGUCACAGUUAAGUGGGAAACGAUGUGGGAAGGCACAGACAGCCAGGAUGUUGGCUUAGAAGCAGCCAUCAUUUAAAGAAAGCGUAAUAGCUCACUGGUCGAGUCGGCCUGCGCGGAAGAUGUAACGGGGCUAAACUGUGCACCGAAGCUGCGGCAGCGACACUAUGUGUUGUUGGGUAGGGGAGCGUUCUGUAAGCCUGCGAAGGUGGCCUGUGAGGGUUGCUGGAGGUAUCAGAAGUGCGAAUGCUGACAUAAGUAACGAUAAUGCGGGUGAAAAGCCCGCACGCCGGAAGACCAAGGGUUCCUGUCCAACGUUAAUCGGGGCAGGGUGAGUCGACCCCUAAGGCGAGGCCGAAAGGCGUAGUCGAUGGGAAACAGGUUAAUAUUCCUGUACUUGGUGUUACUGCGAAGGGGGGACGGAGAAGGCUAUGUUAGCCGGGCGACGGUUGUCCCGGUUUAAGCAUGUAGGCGGAGGUUCCAGGUAAAUCCGGUACCUUUUUAACGCUGAGGUGUGAUGACGAGGCACUACGGUGCUGAAGUAACAAAUGCCCUGCUUCCAGGAAAAGCCUCUAAGCAUCAGGUAACAUUAAAUCGUACCCCAAACCGACACAGGUGGUCAGGUAGAGAAUACCAAGGCGCUUGAGAGAACUCGGGUGAAGGAACUAGGCAAAAUGGUGCCGUAACUUCGGGAGAAGGCACGCUGAUAUGUAGGUGAAGCCCCUGCGGGUGGAGCUGAAAUCAGUCGAAGAUACCAGCUGGCUGCAACUGUUUAUUAAAAACACAGCACUGUGCAAACACGAAAGUGGACGUAUACGGUGUGACGCCUGCCCGGUGCCGGAAGGUUAAUUGAUGGGGUUAUCCGUAAGGAGAAGCUCUUGAUCGAAGCCCCGGUAAACGGCGGCCGUAACUAUAACGGUCCUAAGGUAGCGAAAUUCCUUGUCGGGUAAGUUCCGACCUGCACGAAUGGCGUAAUGAUGGCCAGGCUGUCUCCACCCGAGACUCAGUGAAAUUGAACUCGCUGUGAAGAUGCAGUGUACCCGCGGCAAGACGGAAAGACCCCGUGAACCUUUACUAUAGCUUGACACUGAACAUUGAGCCUUGAUGUGUAGGAUAGGUGGGAGGCUUUGAAGCGUGGACGCCAGUCUGCGUGGAGCCAACCUUGAAAUACCACCCUUUAAUGUUUGAUGUUCUAACGUGGACCCGUAAUCCGGGUUGCGGACAGUGUCUGGUGGGUAGUUUGACUGGGGCGGUCUCCUCCCAAAGAGUAACGGAGGAGCACGAAGGUUAGCUAAUCCUGGUCGGACAUCAGGAGGUUAGUGCAAUGGCAUAAGCUAGCUUGACUGCGAGCGUGACGGCGCGAGCAGGUGCGAAAGCAGGUCAUAGUGAUCCGGUGGUUCUGAAUGGAAGGGCCAUCGCUCAACGGAUAAAAGGUACUCCGGGGAUAACAGGCUGAUACCGCCCAAGAGUUCAUAUCGACGGCGGUGUUUGGCACCUCGAUGUCGGCUCAUCACAUCCUGGGGCUGAAGUAGGUCCCAAGGGUAUGGCUGUUCGCCAUUUAAAGUGGUACGCGAGCUGGGUUUAGAACGUCGUGAGACAGUUCGGUCCCUAUCUGCCGUGGGCGCUGGAGAAUUGAGGGGGGCUGCUCCUAGUACGAGAGGACCGGAGUGGACGCAUCACUGGUGUUCGGGUUGUCAUGCCAAUGGCAUUGCCCGGUAGCUAAAUGCGGAAGAGAUAAGUGCUGAAAGCAUCUAAGCACGAAACUUGCCCCGAGAUGAGUUCU